RNAcentral lists this long non-coding RNA (750 nucleotides) under Drosophila guanche. The record is from RNAcentral. Lineage: Eukaryota; Metazoa; Arthropoda; Insecta; Diptera; Drosophilidae.
GUGGCUGGAGCGCCACAUCGCAUUCUGUAAGUGAUUCCUUUUUUUUUUGUUACAAAUACAUUUCUACUGCUUUCGACCACAUUUAACAUGCAAAGAUUUUACUGCUUUAUUUAGCAUUCAACUUAGAUGGAUACUCUCGCAUAAUACGAAUGCCAGAGAAACAAGUGAUACGAAUCUUAUUGAAGCUUUUACAUCUUCUCUCCAACGAAUACAAAGAACCCCUCGCCACCGCCAUACACCAAAAACAACAAACUCUGCCAGUCAAGCAGUUGACAAGAACCGGAAAUGGGCCAACAGAAACAACAACAAAAACAACAUCUAGAAUAGUAUCCAAAAAAGUAGUUGAAAUAUUUGCCAUAUCGUAAGGCAUUUUAUCGGUUACUAGUACGUAUACAUAUGUAUGUGUAUGUGCUUGUCUCUGAAUAAUAAUGAGAGAUAUGGGAAUGGAGGGGUUAUGUCAUCUCUCCAUCCACCUUCCCCUCCCAUCUCUCCUUAUCGUCUCGUUCUGCUAUUCUGCUGUACGCUGCUGUCAUGCACCAGCAGCAGCAGCAGCAACAGCGACAAAACAAAUGUUUAAUUCUAGUAUUUAACAAUUGUAUAACGCUGUAAAUUUCACGCGAUUUACAAAUGCAACAACCACACAAUGGUACAUAAUGGCAAUAACAAAAUAUAAAAAAAGAUGUUGACAAAUGUCCGGAGCUUAAUUAAAGCGACAGCCGUUGUUUCCCCACUGCCACCCCCACAAAAACA